RNAcentral lists this ribosomal RNA (253 nucleotides) under uncultured bacterium. RNAcentral describes it as "partial 16S ribosomal RNA". It matches the Rfam family "Bacterial small subunit ribosomal RNA", at positions 524 to 776 of the family's 1533-position model. The record is from RNAcentral.
UACGGAGGGUGCAAGCGUUGUUCGGAAUCACUGGGCGUAAAGGGCGUGUAGGCGGUCCGCUAAGUCUGAUGUGAAAGCCCGGGGCUCACCCCCGGAAGGGCAUUGGAAACUGGCGGACUCGAGUCCCGGAGAGGAAGGUGGAAUUCCUGGUGUAGCGGUGAAAUGCGUAGAUAUCAGGAGGAAUACCGGUGGCGAAGGCGGCCUUCUGGACGGUGACUGACGCUGAGACGCGAAAGCGUGGGGAGCAAACCGG